Molecule: ribosomal RNA, 253 nt
Filed under: uncultured bacterium
Lineage: Bacteria
Description: partial 16S ribosomal RNA
Rfam family: Bacterial small subunit ribosomal RNA
Source: RNAcentral
UACGGAGGGUGCAAGCGUUAUCCGGAUUCACUGGGUUUAAAGGGUGCGUAGGUGGGUUGGUAAGUCAGUGGUGAAAUCCCCGAGCUUAGCUUGGGAACUGCCAUUGAUACUAUCAGUCUUGAAUAUUGUGGAGGUUAGCGGAAUAUGUCAUGUAGCGGUGAAAUGCUUAGAUAUGACAUAGAACACCAAUUGCGAAGGCAGCUGGCUACGCAUAUAUUGACACUGAGGCACGAAAGCGUGGGGAUCAAACAGG